Long non-coding RNA from Saccostrea echinata, 718 nucleotides. RefSeq lists it as uncharacterized. The record is from RefSeq and is a predicted model, not a curated record. The transcript has 7 exons. Lineage: Eukaryota; Metazoa; Mollusca; Bivalvia; Ostreida; Ostreidae.
UGUUCAGAUGACAAAUGCAAUGAGAUUUCACAAUGAUGUGUCGUAUAAUGGCUGUAGAAGAUUUUGUACCAAGUUUUAUGAAAAUCAAUCCAGGUCAGAGUCUUUAUCAGAGAGAAAGAAGCAAUUACCCAUCGAAACCUGUAUCAGUGGUACUGGAAACAACUGGAUCUAGUGACAAUAUUCAAGCUCGGUGAAGGGUGGGGCUACAUGUAGAUAUGGGAGCAGAUUUCACAUUAUACAGUAAGGCUAUGAGUAGUCUCCCCUGUUAAAGAUCAACAAUGGUGGAUAUACAAUGCGGGAUGCUGUGUAGUACAUACUACGUACAUCAUUAACAGAGUUUUGACACCUGUAUACCUGUAUUUCUACCAAUCACCUCUGUAACCUUUGUUGUAAUCGUCAGACAGGUUCCCCUACAGAUUCACAAAGUUCCAAUAUUGAAUUUCCAUGACCCCUAUUCAUCCAUGACAGAAAAAGGAAUAAAGUUGACAGGACUUUCAUCACUGCCCUUUAACUGGUAGCAGUUUACGUUUAGACAGCAGAAGACAUAGCCAGUUUCAUCAAAGAUGCACCAGAUGCCUUGGCACUAUCUCCAUCACUGGUGAAAUGGGAAAUGACUAGUAGACCGUCAUCACUUAAUAUUUUUAACUCACCAAUGCAUAAUUUGAGGCCAAUCUCUUCUCAUCUCCGAUGGUGGUCUCCGGAGGAAUGGUUGCAGUGC